ACUCCUGUGCCCUAUUGGAUAAGGUGUUGGCCUCCGUAGCCAAAGAUUGCGGGGUUCGAGUCCUGCCAGGGGCA
Trichonephila clavipes is the source of this 74-nucleotide non-coding RNA. Lineage: Eukaryota; Metazoa; Arthropoda; Arachnida; Araneae; Nephilidae. The record is from the annotation of a GenBank genome assembly.